GAUGAACGCUGGCGGCGUGCCUAAUACAUGCAAGUCGAGCGAACAGACGAGGAGCUUGCUCCUCUGACGUUAGCGGCGGACGGGUGAGUAACACGUGGAUAACCUACCUAUAAGACUGGGAUAACUUCGGGAAACCGGAGCUAAUACCGGAUAAUAUAUUGAACCGCAUGGUUCAAUAGUGAAAGACGGUUUUGCUGUCACUUAUAGAUGGAUCCGCGCCGCAUUAGCUAGUUGGUAAGGUAACGGCCUACCAAGGCAACGAUGCGUAGCCGACCUGAGAGGGUGAUCGGCCACACUGGAAGUGAGACACGGUCCAGACUCCUACGGGAGGCAGCAGUAGGGAAUCUUCCGCAAUGGGCGAAAGCCUGACGGAGCAACGCCGCGUGAGUGAUGAAGGUCUUCGGAUCGUAAAACUCUGUUAUUAGGGAAGAACAAAUGUGUAAGUAACUAUGCACGUCUUGACGGUACCUAAUCAGAAAGCCACGGCUAACUACGUG
This 497-nucleotide ribosomal RNA is filed under the name uncultured bacterium. RNAcentral's name for it is "partial 16S ribosomal RNA". It matches the Rfam family "Bacterial small subunit ribosomal RNA", at positions 28 to 507 of the family's 1533-position model. The record is from RNAcentral.